This 282-nucleotide transfer RNA is filed under the name Monotropa uniflora (ghost pipe). RNAcentral describes it as "tRNA-Ser". The stretch from base 199 to 282 matches the Rfam family "tRNA". The record is from RNAcentral. Lineage: Eukaryota; Viridiplantae; Streptophyta; Magnoliopsida; Ericales; Ericaceae.
GGCGCUUUUGGUUUAGUAAUACCUAGAUCUUUUUUAUCUUUUUUAUCGUUGUAACAGUAAUUAUGAUAACCAUCUUGUUUGUAUACUAUUUUCAUUUUAUAUUCUUUAUUUAAUAGAUUGUUUUAACAAGCCCCCACGCAAGGCUUCUCAUUUUAAGUAUAUUAUAAAAUUUUUUAUUUUUUAGUAAAAAAAUAUUUAGGAGAGAUGGCUGAGUGGUUGAUAGCCUCGGUCUUGAAAACCGAUAUAGUUCUGACUAUCGAGGGUUCAAAUCCCUCUCUCUCC